Molecule: ribosomal RNA, 253 nt
Filed under: uncultured bacterium
Lineage: Bacteria
Description: partial 16S ribosomal RNA
Rfam family: Bacterial small subunit ribosomal RNA
Source: RNAcentral
UACGUAGGGGGCAAGCGUUGUCCGGAUUUAUUGGGCGUAAAGAGCGUGUAGGCGGCUAGAUAGGUCCGUUGUGAAAACUCGAGGCUCAACCUCGAGACGUCGAUGGAAACCAUCUGGCUAGAGUCCGGAAGAGGAGAGUGGAAUCCGUGGUGUAGCGGUGAAAUGCGCAGAUAUCAGGAAGAACACCCGUGGCGAAGGCGGCUCUCUGGUACGUGACUGACGCUGAGACGCGAAAGCGUGGGGAGCAAACAGG